UGCACGAAAGUGUGAUAAGGGGACCCUGAGUGCUCAUCUUACGAUGGGCUUUUGCCAAGAGUAAAUAUCUUGGCGAAUAAGUGGUGGGUAAGACUGGUGCCAGCCGCCGCGGUAACACCAGCGCCACGAGUGGGAAUCAUGUUUAUUUGGCCUAAAGCGUCCGUAGCCGGCAAAGUAAAUCUUUUGUGAAAUCAUCAGGCCUAACCUGAUGGCGUGCAGAAGACACUGCUGUGCUUGGAACCGGGAGGAGUCAGAAGUAUGGGGUGGGGAGCGGUAAAAUGCGAUAAUCCAUCUUAGACUACCUGUGGCGAAGGCGUCUGACUAGAACGGAUUCGACGGUGAGGGACGAAAGCCAGGGGAGCGAUCCGGAUUAGAUACCCGAGUAGUCCUGGCCGUAAACGCUGUGAGCUAGGUGUUGCAUAUUCUACGUGAAUAUGCAGUGUCGAAGUGAAGACGAUAAGCUCACCGCCUGGGAAGUACGGUCGCAAGACU
RNAcentral lists this ribosomal RNA (492 nucleotides) under uncultured archaeon. RNAcentral describes it as "bacterial SSU rRNA". It matches the Rfam family "Archaeal small subunit ribosomal RNA", at positions 356 to 850 of the family's 1478-position model. The record is from RNAcentral.